UACGAAGGGGGCUAGCGUUGCUCGGAAUCACUGGGCGUAAAGCGCACGUAGGCGGAUUGCUAAGUCAGGGGUGAAAUCCUGGAGCUCAACUCCAGAACUGCCUUUGAUACUGGCGAUCUUGAGUCCGGGAGAGGUGAGUGGAACUGCGAGUGUAGAGGUGAAAUUCGUAGAUAUUCGCAAGAACACCAGUGGCGAAGGCGGCUCACUGGCCCGGUACUGACGCUGAGGUGCGAAAGUGUGGGGAGCGAACAGG
RNAcentral lists this ribosomal RNA (253 nucleotides) under uncultured bacterium. RNAcentral describes it as "partial 16S ribosomal RNA". It matches the Rfam family "Bacterial small subunit ribosomal RNA", at positions 524 to 776 of the family's 1533-position model. The record is from RNAcentral.